AGAUCGAAUGAUUUGUGCAUUGGGCUAACUUUCCAUUAAACCUUUCCCAAGCUUCAAAUAAUGGCUCUCCAUUUAUUUAUAAAAAAUUUACAAUCUCUUCCCGAAUUU
Molecule: non-coding RNA, 108 nt
Organism: Capsicum annuum
Lineage: Eukaryota; Viridiplantae; Streptophyta; Magnoliopsida; Solanales; Solanaceae
Source: Rfam